RNAcentral lists this ribosomal RNA (378 nucleotides) under uncultured eukaryote. Its description in RNAcentral is "partial 18S ribosomal RNA". It matches the Rfam family "Eukaryotic small subunit ribosomal RNA", at positions 591 to 976 of the family's 1831-position model. The record is from RNAcentral.
CCAAUAGCGUAUAUUAAAGUUGUUGCAGUUAAAAAGCUCGUAGUUGGAUUUCGGGGCAGCCUGGCUGGUCCGCCGCAAGGCGAGUACUGGUCAGCCGCCCUUCCUCUCGAAAGCCCCGACUGCUCUUCGUUGCAGUGGUCGGGUAGUUCGGGACGUUUACUUUGAAAAAAUUAGAGUGUUCAAGGCAGGCCUACGCCUGAAUACAUUAGCAUGGAAUAAUGGAAGAGGACCUCGGUCCUAUUUUGUUGGUUUCCAGGGCCGAAGUAAUGAUUAAGAGGGACAGUUGGGGGCAUUCGUAUUUAAUUGUCAGAGGUGAAAUUCUCGGAUUUAUGAAAGACGAACAACUGCGAAAGCAUUUGCCAAGGAUGUUUUCAUUAA